UCUUCUUUCCCUACAACUCCACCUACAUUUGUCAUGUCUCCAUCCCAUGGCCAGUAUCCUGCUGGGUUCUCACCGUACCAUUCCCCACCCACCAUGUAUGGCAGCAGAAGCCCACCAACCCCUUAUGCAUACUCGCCCGAAGCAGCCCCUCCUCCUGCCGGAUCAUACCCUGGAGCUCCGAUGAACUAUCCCGCCUAUGCAGCUUAUGGCAACGGUAUGGUACCAGCUUAUCAGCAGGCUUACUACCGAUAGACAUGACAAAACUCGUUUGAAGACGGUAACCACUGAUAUGAUGACUCCAGAUCUCAUCAACUUUUAUAAUGGCUUGUUUGUAAUCACUAACCGUUUAAAUGGUAGCGAUGUGUGUGUUAAUCAUGAUAUAUCGUCAUGCUUCUUGCUUUGUCAUGGUGGCAAGUUG
Molecule: long non-coding RNA, 418 nt
Filed under: Malus domestica (apple)
Lineage: Eukaryota; Viridiplantae; Streptophyta; Magnoliopsida; Rosales; Rosaceae
Description: long non-coding RNA (MDOM_LNC016326)
Source: RNAcentral